RNAcentral lists this ribosomal RNA (465 nucleotides) under uncultured bacterium. Its description in RNAcentral is "partial 16S ribosomal RNA". It matches the Rfam family "Bacterial small subunit ribosomal RNA", at positions 28 to 507 of the family's 1533-position model. The record is from RNAcentral.
GACGAACGCUGGCGGCGUGCUUAACACAUGCAAGUCGUACGGUAAGGCCCUUUCGGGGGUACACGAGUGGCGAACGGGUGAGUAACACGUGAGUAACCUGCCCACAACUUUGGGAUAACGCUAGGAAACUGGUGCUAAUACUGGAUAUGUGCUCCUGCUGCAUGGUGGGGGUUGGAAAGCUCCGGCGGUUGUGGAUGGACUCGCGGCCUAUCAGCUUGUUGGUGGGGUAGUGGCCUACCAAGGCGGCGACGGGUAGCCGGCCUGAGGGGGUGACCGGCCACAUUGGGACUGAGAUACGGCACAGACUCCUACGGGAGGCAGCAGUGGGGAAUAUUGCACAAUGGGCGCAAGCCUGAUGCAGCAACGCCGCGUGCGGGAUAACGGCCUUCGGGUUGUAAACCGCUUUCAGCAGGGACGAAGCUUUUUGUGACGGUACCUGCAGAAGAAGCACCGGCUAACUACGUG